ACAGUCUCAUCUUCUUUGCCUUCGGAACACAAUGUAGAACUCUCAGCUCCAAUAGUUCCAUGCCUACCUGGAUUCUGCUAUGCUCCCCACCAUGAUGAUAAUGGACUGAACCUCUGAACCUAAAGGUAGGCAGAAUAACAGAAGGCGUGGACUGGAAGAACAGAUUGAGAAGUCAAAACACCACACCAUCUGUGGUGUAAGGUCAGGCUUCCCAGCUACCUCGUGCCUUGCAGUGAAUGCUCGCUCUUAUAUGGACCCAUCAGUAAGCUGUGUCACCUUUCAUCCCACGGAGGUGACUAAGCCACAGGCUUGCUAGGCUGUGGAGGUGGACCUGUCCUUUGAAUUCCUCUGAGGAUUUCCUGCAAGUUGAAGGAUCAUGAGGCCCUGGCAGAGCCAGUCCUUGCAGAUGGCAGUGAUUCCAGUGACUUCUUAGAAUCAAUAAUGCACAGGGAUUUCUAUGGUUGUAUCUGGUUACACUAUAUGGAUGUAUGUGGAUACUAUACAGUAGGAUCUGGAGACACCAUCCACAGCAAGCAUAAUGGAUUCAAGUCAUUAUGGUGCAGAGCCUCUGUGGACAAAACCAGACCACUUACACAUCUUCAUCCUCAGGAGAUGCUUUCCAGUUUCAUGAGGUUCCAUUAAUCAAAUCUUAAUCCCUUAAAGAAAUACAGGAAAAUAGAAUUAAGCAAGUGAGUGAAUUGAACAAAAUGGUCCAAGACCUAAAAAUGGAAAUAGAAACAAUAAAGAAAACACAAACGGACACAAUCCUGGUGACGGGCAACUAGGAACAAGAUCAAGCAUCACCAAAAGAGAGAAUCUCAGGUAUAAAAGAUACCAUAGAAGAUUUUGACACACUUGUCAAAGAAAAUACAAAGUAUAAAAAGCUCCUAACCAAAAAUAUCCAAGAAAUUGAGGACAUAAUGAAAAGAUCAAACCUAAGAGUAAUAGGAAUAGAAGAGGGUGAAGAUUCCCAGCUCAACAGGCCAGAAACCAUGUUCAACAAAAUCACAAAAGAAAACUUCCUUAACCUAAAGAAAGAGAUGGCCAUAAAUGUACAAGAAGCUGACAGAACACUAAAUAGAUAGAACCAGAAAUGAAAAUUCUCUUGUCACAUAAUAAUCAAAACACUAAAGCACAGAACCAAGAAAGAAUAUUAAAAGCUGUAAGGGGAAAAGGCCAAAUAACAUAUAAAGGCAGACCUACCAGAAUUAUACCACAAUUCUCAACAGAGACUCCAAAAGCCAGAAGACCCUGGACAGAGGUCAUGCAGACCCUAAGAGAAAACAAAUGCCAGCCCAGGCUACUAUACCCAGCAAAACUCUCAAUCAUCAUAGAUGGAGAAACAAAGAUAUUCCAUGACAAAACCAAAUGGAAAAAAAAUAUAUACAUUGUAUAUACAUACAUAUAUACCAAUCUAGCCAAACAGAGGAUACUGGAAGGAAAACUCCAACACGAGGGUAACUACACCCAAGAAAACAGGAGAAAUUAAACAUCUUACAACGAACUCAAAAGAAGAGAAUUGCAUACACAUUAUAUCACCUCCAGCAACAAAAAUAACAGGAAUAAACAAUCAUCUGUCUUUGAUAUCUCCCAGCAUUAAUGGACUCAAUUUCUCAAUAAAUGGCACAGGCUAACAGACUGAAUAUGUAAACAGGAUCCAGCAUUUCGCAGCAUACAAAAAACACACCUCAAUGACAAAGACAGGUACUACCUCAGAGUAAAGGGUUGGAAAAAAGUUUUCCAAGCAAACGGUCCCAAGAAAUAAGUGGGAGUUGUCAUUCUAAUGUCCCAUAAAGUAGACUUUCAACCAAAAGCUAUCAAAUGAGAUGUACAUAGGGUAAUUCAUAUUCAUCAAAGGAAAAAUCCAUCUGGAGGAAGUCUCAAUUCUGAACAUCUAUGCCCCAAAUGCAAGAGUACCCACAUUCAUAAAAGAAACGUUACUAAAGCUCAAAGCACACAUUGCACCUCACAUCAUAAUAGUGGGAGGCUUCAACACCCCACUCUUACCAUGGACAGUUCACUGAAACAGAAACUAAACAGAGACACAGUGAAACUAACAGAAGUUGUCAACCAAGUAAAUUUAACUUCACUUAACAUCGGUUGCUUGCUGUUAUUGUUGGUGUUUUGUUUUGUUUUGUUUUGUUUUAUUCAACUGCUAAAAAUCCAGAUUCCUGAAGAACUGGAAGCAUAUAUUUUCUUUUCUUUCAUUUCAUUUCAGUUUGGUUCACUUUGGUUUCUCAUAACUUCUUAGAAUCUUGCUGGCUCCAAGUAGGACAAUACUCAAAACUAUCUCAUUGUAUUGAAAGCUCUAAAGAGACUGUCUAUGGACAUCCAACUAUUGCCCUUAGAACCCAAAAACACAAUGGACACAUGUUAUCACUCUUUCCUGGUACCGUAAACAACUGACAACCAAGAAAUCAGUAUAUAACAGAAACAAAAAUGCUUUUGUCAAGAACAAUGACAUCUAUUAAAAAUAAAACUUAUUCUCUCUUCUGCUCUUCCCCUCUCUCUCUCUCUCUCUCUCUCUCUCUCUCUCUCUUUCUCUCUCUCCCUCCCUCUCUCCCUCUCUUCCUCUCCUGGCUUGACACGAUAAAAUAAAUAAAUAAAUAAAACUUAGCAUUGCUA
Non-coding RNA from Rattus norvegicus (Norway rat), 2625 nucleotides. Lineage: Eukaryota; Metazoa; Chordata; Mammalia; Rodentia; Muridae. The record is from RefSeq and is a predicted model, not a curated record.